RNAcentral lists this long non-coding RNA (329 nucleotides) under Drosophila guanche. Lineage: Eukaryota; Metazoa; Arthropoda; Insecta; Diptera; Drosophilidae. The record is from RNAcentral.
UAACAUCUUAGCUCUCAAAUUGAAUUUGUUUUGUCCUCUUCCGAGUAGAAGUCCUCGACUUGGUUGGUUUUUUUUUGUAUUUUGUGUACGGGUAUUAUUACGAGACGGCUGGAGACUGCCUUUCGGGGGUUGUUCUUCGCUGGGAGGAUGGCAACUGAGCCAGAGCAGGUCUGUUUUGGGGUUGGUUGCUAAACGGCGGCUAACGAUGUGCCAAUCUAAUCCUUUGAGAUACUCGUAUGACCACAAACUCCUGUGUCCCCUUAAGCGGGGACAUUAAUGCAAUGUUUGUGCAGUUCGCUUCUGUUCUUGAGUAUACGCUUAAAUCUUCC